This 441-nucleotide ribosomal RNA is filed under the name uncultured Methyloversatilis sp. Its description in RNAcentral is "bacterial SSU rRNA". It matches the Rfam family "Bacterial small subunit ribosomal RNA", at positions 937 to 1382 of the family's 1533-position model. Lineage: Bacteria; Pseudomonadati; Pseudomonadota; Betaproteobacteria; Nitrosomonadales; Sterolibacteriaceae. The record is from RNAcentral.
UGAUGUGGAUUAAUUCGAUGCAACGCGAAAAACCUUACCUACCCUUGACAUGUACGGAACCCUGCUGAGAGGUGGGGGUGCUCGAAAGAGAGCCGUAACACAGGUGCUGCAUGGCUGUCGUCAGCUCGUGUCGUGAGAUGUUGGGUUAAGUCCCGCAACGAGCGCAACCCUUGUCAUUAGUUGCUACGCAAGAGCACUCUAAUGAGACUGCCGGUGACAAACCGGAGGAAGGUGGGGAUGACGUCAAGUCCUCAUGGCCCUUAUGGGUAGGGCUUCACACGUCAUACAAUGGUCGGUACAGAGGGUUGCCAAGCCGCGAGGUGGAGCCAAUCCCAGAAAGCCGAUCGUAGUCCGGAUCGCAGUCUGCAACUCGAGUGCAUGAAGGUGGAAUCGCUAGUAAUCGAGGAUCAGCAUGCCUCGGUGAAUACGUUCCCGGGCCUU